AUGUUCAUCCUGAUGUUCUUGUGUAUGUGGAUUUCACUAGGAGACUCUACAACAGAUCAAAUCAAGCCACUUGAUACACAUAAAAGUGUAACUGAAGGUGAUACUGUUACUCUAUCCUGCAGCUACAAAGACUUUAUUGGUGUUGUUGUAAAUCUACAGUGGUACCGGCAAUAUCCAAAAUCUGAACCAGAGUUCCUUCUUUCCUGCCUAACAAAUGGAGAUCUGAAUGAAGACAUGGAUUUACGUCUGUCUGCUAAAGUUCAACCAAGUUUAAAACAAGUGGAUCUGAACAUCUCAUCUGCUGCAGUAUCAGACUCUGUAAUAUAUUACUGUGCACUGACGCCCACAGUGACAGGAAACACAGCUGCACUGUACAAAAACUCUAACACAGAUGUGUUCUUCAAAAAUCUGGUUUAG
Molecule: non-coding RNA, 417 nt
Organism: Trichomycterus rosablanca
Lineage: Eukaryota; Metazoa; Chordata; Actinopteri; Siluriformes; Trichomycteridae
Source: the annotation of a RefSeq genome assembly